CGGGGAACUGAAACAUCUAAGUACCCGGAGGAGAGGAAAUCAAUCUCGAGACUCCCCGAGUAGCGGCGAGCGAAAGGGGACCGAUGGCCAAACCGUCGAGCGGGCAUACCCGGCAGGGGUUCCGCCGACGGGGUUGCAGGGCCGCGCAUCCGGGGGCUGCCGCCCCCGGGCGCAGGUCCGGCUGGGGAGCGGAACGGCAUGGGAGGGCCGGCCGCAGCGGGUGACAGCCCCGUACGCGAACCCAGACCGGACGGCGCGACGCGGUCCCUGAGUAGGGCCGGGCACGUGAAACCCGGUCCGAAGCAGGGGGGACCACCCUCCAAGGCUGAACACUCUCCGAUGACCGAUAGCGAACCAGUACCGUGAGGGAAAGGUGAAAAGCACCCCGGGAGGGGAGUGAAACAGUACCUGAAACCGUGCGCCCACGAGCAGUCGGAGCACCUUUAUGGUGUGACGGCGUGCCUUUUGUAGAAUGAGCCAGCGAGUCGCUGGCGCGGGGCGAGGUUAACCGAAAGGGAGCCGGAGCGAAAGCGAGCCUUAACAGGGCGACUUGAGUCCCGCGCCGCGGACGCGAAGCCGGGUGAGCUAUCCGUGGGCAGGCUGAAGCGGGGGUAAGACCCCGUGGAGGGCCGAACGCACGUCGGUUGAAAACGGCGGCGAUGACCUGCGGAUAGGGGUGAAAGGCCAAUCAAACCCGGAGAUAUCUCGUUCUCCCCGAAAUAGCUUUAGGGCUAGCGUCGCGCGUUCACCGCCGGAGGUAGAGCACCGGAUGGACGAGGGGGCUUCGCCGCCUACCGAAUCCAACCGAACUCCGAAUGCCGGCGGCCCAGAGCGCGGCAGUCAGAGCAUGUGGGCUAAGCUGUGUGCUCGAGAGGGAAACAGCCCAGACCGCCCGCCAAGGCCCCAAAGGCCGUGCUAAGUGGCAAAGGAUGUGCGCCCGCCCAGACAACCAGGAUGUUGGCUUAGAAGCAGCCAUGCAUUCAAAGAGUGCGUAACAGCUCACUGGUCGAGUGGACAUGCGCCGACAAUACACGGGGCUAAGCUGGACACCGAAGCGGCGGGAUUUUAAUUCAUUAGAAUCGGUAGGGGAGCUUCCCAUGGGCGGAGAAGCCGGAGGGCGACCGACGGUGGAGCGCAUGGGAGUGAGAAUGCUGGCAUGAGUAGCGAGAGACGAGAGAGUAACUCGUCCGCCGUGAACCCGAGGUUUCCUGGGCAAGGCUAAUCCUCCCAGGGUCAGUCGGGGGCUAAGGCGAGGCCGGGAGGCGUAGCCGACGCGCAGCAGGCAGACAUUCCUGCACCGCGCACGCGGCGCUACGACCGACGGGGCGACGGAUGGGGGUGGCUCGGCGGGGUUCUGGACGUCCCCGUGAAAGCGCGUAGGGAGGGGCCCAGGGAAAUCCGGUCCCCGCAUAUCCCGAGACGCGAGACGAGCCCUGUGGCGAAGUCGCGGAUUCCAUGCCUCCUAGAAAAAUCCCUAGGCAGCGCCCACGCCGCCCGUACCAAAACCGACACAGGUGGGUAGGAAGAGCAUUCCGAGGCGAUCGGGGCAACCAUGGUCAAGGAACUCGGCACAAUGGCCCCGUAACUUCGGGAGAAGGGGUGCCCGCGCGUACGUGAACCGGCUCGCCCGGGGAGCGGAGGCGGGCCGCAGUGGAGAGGCCCAAGCGACUGUUUACCAAAAACACAGGACUCUGCAGAAGCCGCAAGGCGACGUAUAGGGUCUGACGCCUGCCCGGUGCCGGAAGGUUACGCGGAUGCGUUAGCGCAAGCGAAGCGCUGAAGCCAAGCCCCGGUAAACGGCGGCCGUAACUAUAACGGUCCUAAGGUAGCGAAAUUCCUUGUCGGGUAAGUUCCGACCCGCACGAAUGGUGUAACGAUCUGGGCACUGUCUCAACUACCCACCCGGCGAAAUUGUAGUACCGGUGAAGAUGCCGGUUACCUGCGGCAAGACGGAAAGACCCCAUGGAGCUUUACUGUAGCCUGAUAUUGGGUUUCGGAAAUCUAUGUACAGGAUAGGCGGGAGACUGGGAAGUAUGAGCGUCAGCUUAUACGGAGUCGUUGUUGGGAUACCGCCCUUAGGUUUCUGGAAUUCUAACCUGCGACCGUGAAUCCGGUCGGGGGACAUUGUCAGGUGGGCAGUUUGACUGGGGCGGUCGCCUCCGAAAAGGUAACGGAGGCGCUCAAAGGUUGGCUCAGCACGGACGGAAACCGUGCCUCAGAGUGUAAACGCAAAAGCCAGCCUAACUGCGAGGAUGACGGUCCGAGCAGUAACGAAAGUUGGAGUUAGUGAUCCGGCGGUAUGUGAAUGGAAAUGCCGUCGCUCAACGGAUAAAAGCUACCCUGGGGAUAACAGGCUGAUCUCCCCCAAGAGUCCACAUCGACGGGGAGGUUUGGCACCUCGAUGUCGGCUCAUCACAUCCUGGGGCUGUAUUCGGUCCCAAGGGUUCGGCUGUUCGCCGAUUAAAGUGGUACGCGAGCUGGGUUCAGAACGUCGCGAGACAGUUCGGUCCCUAUCUGUCGUGGGCGCAGGAUAUUUGAGGAGCUCUGUCCUUAGUACGAGAGGACCGGGAUGGACGUACCUCUGGUGCACCAGUUGUCAUGCCAAUGGCACGGCUGGGCAGCUACGUACGGAACGGAUAAACGCUGAAAGCAUCUAAGCGUGAAGCCGACUCCAAGAUUAGAUAUCCCAUUGCAUAAGCAAGUAAGACCCCUUGAGGACUACGAGGUUGAUAGGCUGCGUGUGUAAGUGUCGUGAGGCAUUUAGCUUGGCAGUACUAAUAGGUCGAGGGCUUGACCAC
This 2798-nucleotide ribosomal RNA is filed under the name human gut metagenome. RNAcentral's name for it is "bacterial LSU rRNA". It matches the Rfam family "Bacterial large subunit ribosomal RNA". The record is from RNAcentral.